Molecule: ribosomal RNA, 234 nt
Filed under: uncultured bacterium
Lineage: Bacteria
Description: partial 16S ribosomal RNA
Rfam family: Bacterial small subunit ribosomal RNA
Source: RNAcentral
GGCGGACGGGUGAGUAAUGUAUAGGAACUUGCCUAGUAGUGGGGGACAACGUGUGGAAACGCACGCUAAUACCGCAUACGCUCUACGGAGGAAAGCGGGGGAUCUUCGGACCUCGUGCUACUAGAUGGGCCUAUAUUGGAUUAGCUAGUUGGUAGGGUAAAGGCUUACCAAGGCGACGAUCCAUAGCUGGUUUGAGAGAAUGAUCAGCCACACUGGGACUGAGACACGGCCCAG